This 253-nucleotide ribosomal RNA is filed under the name uncultured bacterium. RNAcentral's name for it is "partial 16S ribosomal RNA". It matches the Rfam family "Bacterial small subunit ribosomal RNA", at positions 524 to 776 of the family's 1533-position model. The record is from RNAcentral.
UACGAGGGGGGCAAAUGUUGUUCGGAAUCACUGGGCGUAAAGGGAGCGUAGGCGGGCUCUUAAGUAAGGUGUUUAAUCCCGGGGCCCAACCCCGGACCGGCACUUUAAACUGGGAAUCUUGAAUAGUGGAGAGGUCGGUGGAAUUGGGGGUGUAGCGGUGGAAUGCGUAGAGAUCCCCAAGAACACCAGUUGCGAAGGCGGCCGACUGGACACAUAUUGACGCUGAGGCUCGAAAGCAUGGGGAGCAAACAGG